ACUUAGGCACGGGCAGAUCUGAGAGUGAUGAAAAAAGAUCAGUUUAUAAGUUUUAACAUAGUCUUAAAAGUUGAAAAACACUCAAAUAAAUAACGAUUUCUGUCAAAAAAGAACUAGUUUCACACGACACAAAGCUAUACGUAGCGAUAAGAACAUAAUUCUGGUUGGGAACCAGCUGCUGCUAAGAGUUGCCACUCGCCAAGGUUCAGCCAAUCACCCGGAUCGGGCAGCCACCAGAGGCAGAGAAGGCAGGCGAAAUUGUCCUGUACAUUAAAACCAGUACCAUGAUUUAUACCGUCUUCGAAAUCCUUUGACCUUCUGUGUAACGCCACUUUACGAUAAAGUUUGAUUAUUUAUCACACCCUUCGGAAGGAAGGUUCUUAGCGUUAGCUUCUCACCCAAAACCAGCUGAGCAUUUUUCCCAGGCUAGCUAGCUGUGUGUGCUUCUCUCCACCGGCCUGGAACUCUCACACCACCAACACAACUUUUGGCAUCAUCAAAUUCGAGAAAAUUUUCAUAAAAUACUCACACUCACACACACACAAACCGGUAGCAGCAGUCAGCCUCCGGAGUAGGAGCGGCGGCACGCAAAUAGAAGACGACGAAGGCACACUACCAGCAGCUAUUCGAAAUUGUCUUCUGAUCGGAAGAAAACUGCAUAGGCGAUAAAUUUCAAUAAGGUUCUCCACAAACGUAGAUCUUCAAGUUUCCUGCGAGCUUAGAGGUGAAGAAUGAAAAGGAGAGGCGAUCGGUGUGGAGGGUAGAUGAGCCAUUUCCAUAUCUCACAUUUCAAGAAGGUCUCCUCCGACUCUCCCUCCGUGUUCUCCGGUAUGAACCUAGCUCGUUUGUGUUGUAGGUUAACCAAGACGACCAACUCGGGGAUGAACCGAGGUCCAUUUGAAAGCACAAGACGAAGAUGGGAAUGCUCCGCUCGAAAAGAAUAAUGGGAAUGAUAGCAUUCUAAAACAAAUUUGAAACAAAUCUAACGCAAUUAGUGACGUUAUUCAUUCCGCAUACGAGCAUUCAACGUGACGCAUUCUUUACUCCUAGAGAAACUGAAGAAGUGCUCGGAGUUGAGGUUUUUCAAAAGACUGCACCGCGGUCGGUCCACUUGGAUUCUGGUUUACGGAGGGAAAGACAGAGCGGCGUCAAAGGAGGAUUUUUUCGCAAUUGUGUUCGGUAGAGGUAAAGGAUUUUUUGAAAAGAAGUUUGAGGCGCAAAACGACUUCUUGCCGGCAGGGGUGCGAAAUCGCAAACAAUGAAGGCAAAGCAUCUGCCUGUUCGGCUUCAUGCUUCUUUUGAAGCCAUAAACAUGACUCCAGCCGUUUGAUAUCAGGUAUACAAUCGCUACUUGAACCAGUUUUGAUUAUUUCCUAUCAUUUUAUUGUCGCUUUUGAAUGUAAUGGCGAAUAUUUUAUUUUUUU
This is a long non-coding RNA of Toxorhynchites rutilus septentrionalis, 1424 nucleotides long. RefSeq lists it as uncharacterized. The transcript has 3 exons. The record is from RefSeq and is a predicted model, not a curated record. Lineage: Eukaryota; Metazoa; Arthropoda; Insecta; Diptera; Culicidae.